GACCACGUUUGCACCACAUGUUUUGUUUUUGCAAAUUCUUUUUGUAAAUCCAUUUCAAAGAUCUUUUGCAAAUAGUCAAAGGUACAUGAAUAAGAGUUUGCAAAGCAUUUUCAAGAUUUGAAAUUGUCUCCCCCUAUUUUAAAUGCUUUUUCUUUGACUAAACAAAACUCCCCCUAAAAGAGAUCCACCUCUUAGUGUUCAAGAGGGUUUUGAUAUACCAUUUUUGAAAUACUACUUUCUCCCCCUUUUGAACACAAUAGGAUACCAAAUGAUGAAGACUUUUGGAAAGCACUAAGUUUUUUGAAUUUGGUGGUGGUGGUGCGGUCCUUUUGCUUUGGGCUCAUUUCUCCCCCUUUUUGGCAUGAAUCGCCAAAAACGGAAUCAUUAGAGCCCUCGAAGUGCAAUCUUCCCUUUGGUCAUAAAUAAGUGAGUUAAGAUUAUACCAAAGACGAAGUCCUUUUGCGUUUGAGCUUUUACUCUCUCCCCCAAGGAUGAAGUCCUUUUCCUUGAUGCUCAUUUCUCCCCCAAGGACGAGAGAGUUGCUCGGAGUGAUGGCGAAGCAUGAGUUACGGAGUGGAAGCCUUUGUCUUCGCUGAAGACUCCAAUUUCCUUUCAAUAUACCUAUGACUUGGUUUGAAAUCGACUUGAAAACACAUUAGUCAUAGCAUAUAAAGGAGAUAUGAUCAAAGGUAUUCAAAAGAGCUAUGUGUGCAAGCUUUAGCAAAAGAAAUUUCUAGAAUCAAGAAUAUUGAGCUCAUGCCUAAGUCUGGUAAAAGAUUGUUCAUCAAGUGGCUUGGUAAAGAUAUCGGCUAAUUGAUCUUUAGUAUUAAUGUAAGAAAUCUCGAUAUCCCCCUUUUGUUGGUGAUCCCUAAGAAAAUGAUACCGAAUGGCUAUGUGCUUAGUGCGGCUAUGCUCGACGGGAUUGUCGGCCAUUUUGAUUGCACUCUCAUUAUCACAUAGCAAAGGGACUUUGGUUAAUUUGUAACCGUAGUCCCGCAGGGUUUGCCUCAUCCAAAGCAAUUGCGCGCAACAAUGUCCUGCGGCAAUGUACUCGGCUUCGGCGGUGGAAAGAGCGACCGAAUUUUGCUUCUUUGAAGCCCAAGACACCAAGGAUCUUCCCAAGAACUGGCAAGUCCCCGAUGUGCUCUUCCUAUUGAUUUUGCACCCUGCCCAAUCGGCAUCCGAAUAACCAAUCAAAUCAAAUGUGGAUCCCCGAGGGUACCAAAGCCCAAACUUAGGUGUAUAAGCCAAAUAUCUCAAGAUUCGUUUUACGGCCGUAAGGUGUGAUUCCUUAGGGUCGGAUUGGAAUCUUGCACACAUGCAAACGGAAAGCAUAAUGUCCGGUCGAGAUGCACAUAAAUAAAGCAAUGAACCAAUCAUCGACCGGUAUACCUUUUGAUCCACGGACUUACCUCCCGUGUCGAGGUCGAGAUGCCCAUUAGUUCCCAUGGGUGUCUUGAUGGGUUUGGCAUCCCUCAUCCCAAACUUAGCAAGAAUGUCUUGAGUGUACUUCGUUUGGCUAAUGAAGGUGCCCUCUUGGAGUUGCUUGACUUGGAAUCCUAGAAAAUACUUCAACUCCCCCAUCAUCGACAUCUCGAAUUUCUGUGUCAUGAUCCUACUAAACUCUUCACAUGUAGACUCGUUAGUAGACCCAAAUAUAAUAUCAUCAACAUAAAUUUGGCAUACAAACAAGUCAUUUUCAAGAGUUUUAGUAAAGAGUGUAGGAUCGGCCUUGCCGACUUUGAAGCCAUUAGCAAUAAGGAAAUCUCUAAGGCAUUCAUACCAUGCUCUUGGGGCUUGCUUGAGCCCAUAAAGCGCCUUAGAGAGCCUAUAGACAUGAUUAGGAUACUCACUGUCUUCAAAGCCGGGAGGUUGCUCAACAUAGACCUCUUCCUUGAUUGGUCCAUUGAGGAAGGCACUUUUCACGUCCAUUUGAUAGAGCUUAAAGCCAUGGUAAGUAGCAUAGGCCAAUAAUAUGCGAAUUGACUCAAGCCUAGCUACGGGUGCAUAGGUUUCACCAAAAUCCAAACCUUCGACUUGUGAAUACCCUUUGGCCACAAGUCGAGCUUUGUUCCUUGUCACCACACCAUGCUCAUCUUGCUUGUUGCGGAAGACCCAUUUGGUUCCUACAACAUUUUGGUUAGGACGUGGAACUAAAUGCCAUACCUCAUUCCUCGUGAAAUUGUUGAGCUCCUCUUGCAUUGCCACCACCCAAUCCGAAUCUUGGAGAGCUUCCUCUACCCUGUGUGGCUCAAUAGAGGAAACAAAAGAGUAAUGUUCACAAAAAUGAGCAACCCGAGAUCGAGUAGUUACCCCCUUAUGAAUGUCGCCGAGGAUGGUGUCGACGGGGUGAUCUCGUUGGAUUGCUUGGUGGACUCUUGGGUGUGGCGGUCUUGGUUCUUCCUCAUCCUCCUUUUCUUGAUCAUUUGUAUCUCCCCCUUGAUCAUUGCUAUCAUCUUGAGGUGGCUCGUCUUCUUGAUUUUGCUCUUCAUCAUUUUGAGCCUCAUCCUCAUUUUGAGUUGGUGGAGAUGCUUGCAUGGAGGAGGAUGGUUGAUCUUGUGUACUUGGAGGCUCUUCGGAUUCCCUAGGACACACAUCCCCAAUGGACAUGUUCCUAAGCGCUAUGCAUGGAGCCUGUUCUUCACCUACUUCAUCAAGAUCAACUUGCUCUACUUGAGAGCCGUUAGUUUCAUCAAACACAACGUCACAUGAGACUUCAACUAGUCCAGUGGACUUGUUAAAGACCCUAUAUGCCCUUGUGUUUGAGUCAUAACCAAGUAAAAAGCCUUCUACAGUUUUAGGAGCAAAUUUAGAUUUUCUACCUCUUUUAAUAAGAAUGAAGCAUUUGCUACCAAAAACUCUAAAAUAUGAAAUGUUGGGCUUUUUACCGGUUAGGAGUUCAUAUGAUGUCUUCUUGAGGAUUCGGUGAAGAUAUAACCGGUUGAUGGCGUAGCAGGCGGUGUUGACCGCUUCGGCCCAAAACCGGUCCGGUGUCUUGUACUCAUCAAGCAUGGUUCUUGCCAUGUCCAAUAGAGUUCGAUUCUUCCUCUCUACUACACCGUUUUGUUGUGGCGUGUAGGGAGAAGAGAACUCAUGCUUGAUGCCCUCCUCCUCAAGGAAGCUUUCAAUUUGAGAGUUCUUGAACUCCGUCCCAUUGUCGCUUCUUAUUUUCUUGAUCCUUAAGCCGAACUCAUUUUGAGCUCGUCUCAAGAAUCCCUUUAAUGUCUCUUGGGUUUGAGAUUUUUCCUGUAAAAAGAAUACCCAAGUGAAGCGAGAAUAAUCAUCCACAAUAACUAGACAGUACUUACUCCCGCCGAUGCUUAUGUAAGCGAUCGGGCCGAAUAUAUCCAUGUGUAGGAGCUCCAGUGGCCUGUCAGUCGUCAUUAUGUUCUUGUGUGGAUGAUGAGUGCCAACUUGCUUCCCUGCUUGGCAUGCGCUACAAAUCCUGUCUUUCUCAAAAUGAACAUUGGUUAGUCCUAAAAUGUGCUCUCCCUUUAGAAGCUUAUGAAGAUUCUUCAUCCCAACAUGGGCUAGUCGGCGAUGCCAGAGCCAACCCAUGUUAGUCUUAGCAAUUAAACAUGUGUCGAGCUCAGCUCUAUCAAAAUCUACUAAGUAUAGCUGACCCUCUAACACACCCUUAAAUGCUAUUGAAUCAUCACUUCUUCUAAAGACAGUGACACCAAUAUCAGUAAAAAGACAGUUGUAGCCCAUUUUACAUAAUUGGGAUACAGAAAGCAAAUUGUAAUCUAAAGAAUCAACGAGAAAAACAUUGGAAAUAGAAUGGUCAGGAGAUAUAGCAAUUUUACCCAAGCAUUUGACCAAACCUUGAUUUCCAUCCCCGAAUGUGAUAGCUCGUUGGGGAUCUUGGUUUUUCUCAUAUGAGGAGAACAUUCUUUUCUCCCCGGUCAUAUGGUUUGUGCACCCACUGUCGAGUAUCCAACUUGAGCCCCCGGAUGCAUAAACCUACAAAACAAGUUUAGUUCUUUGUUUUAGGUACCCAAACGGUUUUGGGUCCUUUGGCAUUAGAAAUGAGAACUUUGGGUACCCAAACACAAGUCUUGGAGCCCUUGUGCUUGCCCCCAACAAAUUUGGCAACUACCUUGCCGGAUUUGCUAGUAAGUACAUAAGAUGCAUCAAAAGUUUUAAAUGAAAUGGCAUGAUCAUUUGAUGCAUUAGGAGUUUUCUUUCUAGGCAACUUGGCACGGGUUGGUUGCCUAGAGCUAGAUGUCUCACCCUUAUACAUAAAAGCAUGGUUAGGGCCAGAGUGAGACUUCCUAGAGUGAAUUCUCCUAAUUUUGCUCUCGGGAUAACCGGCAGGGUACAAAAUGUAACCCUCGUUAUCCUGAGGCAUGGGAGCCUUGCCCUUAACAAAGUUAGACAAAUUUUUAGGUGGGGCAUUAAGUUUGACAUUGUCUCCCCUUUGGAAGCCAAUGCCAUCCUUGAUGCCAGGACGUCUCCCAUUAUAGAGCAUGCUUCUAGCCAAUUUAAAUUUUUCAUUUUCUAAGUCAUGCUCUCUAAUCUUAGCAUUUAGUUGAGCUAUGUGAUCAUUUUGUUUAUUAAUUAAGGCUAGGUGAUCAUGGAUAGCAUCAACAUUAAUAUCUCUACAUCUAGUACAAAUGGAAAUAUGCUCAACAUUAGAUGUAGAGGGUUUGCAAGAUUUUAGUUCAACAACCUUAGCAUGCAACAUAUCAUUUUUAGUUCUAAGGUCGGAAAUAGUAGCAUUGCAAACAUCAAAAUCCUUAGCCUUAGCAAUUAGUUUCUCAUUCUCAUUUCUAAGGCUAGCAAUGGAAACAUUUAACUCAUCAAUCCUAGCAAGUAAAUCAACAUUAUCAUUUCUAGGAUCAAUGCAAACAUGAGAAUCUACCUUAGCAAUUAAUUUAGCAUUUUCACUUCUAAGGUUGGUAAUAGUGUCAUGGCACAUGCUUAGCUCACUAGAUAAUUUGUUACAUUUUUCUACUUCUAGAGCAUAAGCAUUUUUAACCUUAACAUGUUUCUUAUUUUCCUUGAUUAGGAAGUCCUCUUGGGAGUCCAAGAGAUCAUCCUUUUCAUGGAUGGCACUAAUUAGUUCAUUUAAUUUUUCCUUUUGUUCCAUGUUAAGGUUAGCAAAAAGAAUGCGCAAGUUAUCCUCCUCAUUUUUAUCAUCAUCCUCAUCACUAGAUGUUUCAUAUUUAGUGGAGGACCUUGAUUUUACCUUCUUUUUGCCGUCCUUGGCCAUGAGACACUUGUGGCCGCCGUUGGGGAAGAGAAGGCCUUUGGUGAUGGCGAUGUUGGCGGCGUCCUCGUCGUCGGAGGAGUCGCUUGAGCUUUCGUCGGAGUCCCACUCCCGACAAACAUGGGCAUCGCCGCCCUUCUUCUUGUAAUACUUCUUCUUCUCCUUUCUUCUUCCCUUCUUGUCGUCGCCCCUGUCACUGUCACUAGACAUAGGACAUUUUGCAAUAAAGUGACCGGGCUUACCACACUUGUAGCAAACCUUCUUGGAACGGGGUUUGUAGUCCUUCCCCUUCCGUUGCUUGAGGAUUUGCCUAAAGCUUUUGAUGAUUAGGGCCAUCUCCUCAUUGUCGAGCUUGGAGGCGUCAAUUGGUUGUCUACUUGGUGUAGACUCUUCCUUCUUCUCCUCCGUUGCCUUAAAGGCCACCGGUUGCACCUCGGAGGUGGAAGGCUCGUCAAGCUCGUUGAUCUUCUUGGAGCCCUUAAUCAUGCAUUCAAAACUCACAAAAUUCCCGAUAACUUCCUCGGGGGUCAUUAGUGGAUAUCUAGGAUUCCCACGAAUUAAUUGUACUUGAGUGGGGUUAAGGAAAAUAAGAGCUCUUAGAAUAACCUUAACCACUUCGUGGUCAUCCCAUUUUGUGCUCCCGAGGUUGCGUACUUGGUUCACCAAGGUCUUGAGCCGGUUGUACAUGUCUUGUGGCUCCUCCCCUUGGCGAAGACGGAAGCGACCGAGCUCCCCCUCGAUCGUUUCCCGCUUGGUGAUCUUGGUGAGUUCAUCACCCUCGUGCGCCGUCUUGAGUAGGUCCCAAAUCUCCUUGGCGUUCUUCAAUCCUUGUACUUUGUUGUAUUCCUCCUUGCUUAGGGAGGCAAGGAGGAUGGUUGCGGCUUGGGAGUUGAAGUGCUCGAUUUGGGCCACUUCGUCCGUGUCAUAGUCCUCAUCCCCUAUUGAUGGUACCUGUACACCAUACUCAACAACAUCCCAUAUACUCUUGUGGAGAGAGGUUAGAUGAAAUCGCAUUAAAUUACUCCACAUAGCAUAAUCUUCACCAUUAAAAGUUGGUGGUUUACCUAAUGGGACGGAAAGUAGAGGUGUAUGUUUAGGAACACGAGGAUAGCGUAGGGGAAUCUUACUAUACUUCUUACGCUCUUGGCGUUUAGAAGUGACGGACGCCGCGUCGGAGCCGGAGGUAGAUGUCGAUGAAGUAUCGGUCUCGUAGUAGACCACCUUCCUCAUCCUCUUGUGCUUGUCCCCACUCCGAUGUGGUUUGUGAGAAGAAGAUUUUUCCUUCUUCUCCUUGUGGUGAGAAGAGGAAGAUCUUUUCUCCUUCCGCUUGGAGGAGUUCUUCUUCUCCCUUUUCUUGGUGCGGGACUCUUCCGAUGAGGUGCUCCCUUGGCUUGUAGUGGGCUUGUCGCCGGUCUCCAUCUCCUUCUUGGCGUGAUCUCCCGACAUCACUUCGAGCGGUUAGGCUCUAAUGAAGCACCGGGCUCUGAUACCAAUUGAUAGUCGCCUAGAGGGGGGGUGAAUAGGGCGAAACUGAAAUUUACAAAUAUAAACACAACUACAAGCCGGGGUUAGCGUUAGUAAUAAUAAAUGAGUCCGCAAGAGAGGACGCAAAACAAAUCGCAAGCAAAUAAAGAGAGUGACACGUGGAUUUGUUUUACCGAGGUUCGGUUCUUGCAAACCUACUCCCCGUUGAGGAGGCCACAAAGGCUGGGUCUCUUUCAACCCUUCCCUCUCUCAAACGGUCCCUCGGACCGAGUGAGCUUUCCUUCUUCUCAAUCAACCGGGAACAAAACCUCCCCGCAAGGGCCACCACACAAUCGGUGCCUCUUGCCUCGGUUACAAUUGAGUGUUGAUCACAAGAGCAAAAGAGAAAGAAAGAAUGCGAUCCAAGCGCAAGAGCUCAAAAAACACGGCAAAUCUCUCUCGCUAGUCACUAAAGGCUUGAGUGGAAUUGGAGAGGAUUUGAUCUCUUUGUAUGUGUCUAGAAUUGAAUGCCUAGCUCUUGUAAGUGGUUGAGAAGUGGGAAAACUUGGAUGGCAAUGAAUGUGGAGUGGUUGGGGUAUUUAUAGCCCCAACCACCAAAUGUGGCCGUUGCUGGGAGCUCUCUGUUCGAUGGCGCACCGGACAGUCCGGUGCACACCGGACAGUCCGGUGCCCCCUGCCACGUCAUCGUUGCCGUUGGAUUCUGACCGUUGGAGCUCUGACAUGUGGGCCUGCCGAGGUGUCCGGUGCACACCGGACAUGCACUGUUUGAUGUCCGGUGCACCGGUAUGGGCGCGCCUGCCGACUGCGCGCGCAGAGCGCGCAUUAAAUGCGCUAGCAGGUGACCGUUGUCGCGGAAGUAGCCGUUGCUCCGUGGUUCACCGGACAGUCCGGUGCACACCGGACAGUCCGGUGAAUUAUAGCGGAGCGGCUGCCGCGCGAACCCGAGGCUGGCGAGUUCCGGAGGCCGCGGUUCCUUGGAGCACCGGACAUGUCCGGUGCACACCGGACAGUCCGGUGAAUUAUAGCGCGCCGGCUUCCGAGAAUUCCCGAAGGCGAAGAGUUUGGGUCUAAGUCCCCUGGUGCACCGGACAGGUACUGUUCACUGUCCGGUGGCACACCGGACAGUCCGGUGCGCCAGACCAGGGGUGCCCUCGGUUCCCCCUUUGCUCCUUUAUUGAAUCCAAAACUUGGUCUUUUUAUUGGCUGAGUGUGAACCUUUUGCACCUGUAUAACUUAUACACUAGAGCAAACUAGUCAGUCCAAUAUUUGUGUUGGACAAUUCAACCACCAAAAUUAUUUAGGAACUAGGUGUAAGCCUAAUUCCCUUUCACUUGGCAAAAGAGCUUCGGUGGACAGACAAGGUCUUGAUGAUCCUUCUUAUGAAAAAACUGGCAAAAAAGCUAGAAAUAUAGGGGACAAGUCUGUUAAGGAAGAGAUGAGGCUCGAAAAUAUUGGUGAUAUGAUGUCUCAAGGCAAAUCUUCUGGUCGGGGAUCUGACUUGGGUGAUAACAAUGAAGACCUGAAUCCUGUGACUGAAGAUAAAGGUUAUGAUAAUAACCCUAUAAAUGAAGAUGAGGAGUUCCAUAAGAGUGAAGAUGACCUUCUGAGUGAGAUUUGGAGGAAUUUGCCAAAGAUGAGGAGGUGGUUUUACCUCCACCCCAAGAAAAAAUCAGCAAGUCCUUAGUGGGUGCUCAAGUUGAAGGCUCUGGAAAAACUGAAGCUGAAAAACAAGUUAUAAAUAUGGAAGUGAAUCAUGGUGAAGGCAUUAGGAGGAGCAGCAGACUUGAAUCCAAUGAUGACAUGAAGAUUGCUGACAAAGCUGCGACAAGAGCUAUGGCUAAAGAUGCUUUCAUGAACAAAGGUAUGAAUUCAAAUCCUUUUUCUGUUCUUAAUACUGAAAAUUCUGUGCUUAUGUCGAUUGCUUCAGAAUUAGGAAUAGUUUUAGGUAAUUCUUCUACUGAUUCUAUGGUAAAUUUGGAAUUGAUCAAGUCUUUAGAGUUAUCCAGGAAUAGUCUUGCCAUUCAAUCUGUCAAAAAAUCUGUAGAGCAUAAUCUCCAAGCUGGUUCUGACUCUGAAAUGGAUAAAUCUAUCCAAAAUGAGGAUGGCAACAAUGAGUUGACUGACUUGGAUGAUGUUAUGGUCCUGAGAAAAGGCAGGAAAAUUCGUUAUAAAAAAAAUCAGUCAAGAAGAAGAAAAAAAGGUCUUUCCCCAAAAUUAGGUAUUCACCUAAUAAAGGGAAAGGGAUCCCCUCUGACUUCAAACUCAAUUAUUCAGAAUGAUUGGUCUUAUUUGGAAUUGUCAGGGGUUAGGAAAAGAGGUAAAAAUUGAAUUCUUAAAGGAAUUGAUUAGAAAAGAAAGAAUUGAUUUUAUUGGUUUACAAGAAACUAAUAAAAAUCCUUUGAGGAUUCUUGGCUGAACUCUAUUAGUGGUAAUAGAAAUUUUGCCUGGUUUUGGACGCCUGCAAAUGGUAGAUCUGGUGGCCUUCUUGUAGGUUUUAAUGCAGAUGCUUUUGAUGUUAGAGAAACUGAAAUGGGUGAUUUCAUGAUAAAAGUUCUUUUGGUUCAUAAAGAAAAUGGUUUCAUUUGGAAUUUUAUUAAUGUUUAUGGUGCUGUUCAAAAAUUCCUUAUUGAGUUGUCGUCUUUCUGUUCCAAAUGUAAAUAUCCCAUAUUGGUUGGCGGUGAUUUUAAUAUUCUAAGGAAAGAGUCUGAUAAAAACAAGCCUGGGGAACUAACAGUUGGAGUUCCCUGUUUAAUUCUAUCAUUGAUAUUCAUAGUCUGAUUGAACUUGAUUUGAGUGGUAGAUUAUAUACAUGGUCCAACAACAGAGAUCCUCCCACCUUUGAAAAAUUGGAUAGAUUUCUGGCUAGUCCAGAGUGGGUCCUUCAAUUAAAAAAUAUGUCGGUUACUGGUCUUAACAGGACUUUCUCUGAUCAUGUUCCUUUGUGCCUCAAAAUUGAUUCUCUUUCCAUCUUGAUAUGAGAUUUUAGAUAUGAGCUUUGCUGGAAGCUUAGACUGGAUUUCAAAGAUCUUGUCUGGAAUAAUUGGUCUCUUCCGGUCAGAAGUCGAUCAAGUAUCGAUAUUUGGAAAGAGAAAAAUAAGAGAUUGAAAAAAACGUUGAAAGGGUGGAACAUCAAUGUGGAAGGAAGAUAUUCUAGACUUAAAAAAGAUUUAUUGCAAAAAUUGAUAGCUUAGAUAAAAAAGUGAAAGUACUGGUAUUUCGGUCUCGGAAAGACUUGAAAAGCUUGAUAUGGAAUGUAAUUUAAAAAAUAUGAUGGCUGAAGAAGGUUGUAAGAGAAAGCAAAUGGCGAGAGAAAAAUUUAUUAAUGAGGGUGAUGAGAAUUCUAGGUACUUUCAUCUUAUUGCCAAAGGGAAAAGAAGAGUUAAAAUCCUCUCCUUAGUUCAUGAGGAGGACACAGUCGUUGAUGACAAUGGUAUUAAUAGAGUUGCUACUGCUUUCUAUAAAGAUCUUUUUGGUCCUUCUGUUCCUUCUAGUAUAAAUAUGUCGAAUUUACAUAUGAAUAAAUUAAAUGAUGAGGAUCGAGCUUUGCUCACUGGACCUUUUUCUAUUGAGGAAAUUAAGAAGGUUGUGUUUGGUCUAAAGCACAAUAGCGCCCCUGGUCCUGAUGGUUUUCCAGCAGAAUUUUUUCAAGAUUUUUGGGAUCUCAUUCACAUUGAUCUGUGGAAUUUAUUCAAGGAUUUUUAUGGAGGGGUGCUUGAUAUUAAAAGACUUAACUUUGGGUUAGUGACUCUUUUACCUAAAGUGGAUAACCCUGUCGACAUGAGGAAUUUCAGACCUAUCUGUCUCUUGAAUGUCUGUUAUAAGAUCAUUACCAAAGUUCUGACUAAUAGACUUUCUACUUGCAUUACUAAAGUGAUUAGUGAGUAUCAAUAUGACUUUAUUAAAGGGAGGUACAUUAUGGAUAGUGUGGUUUCCCUUAAUGAAAUUCUUCACGAAGUAAGACAGAAAAAACAAAGUGGUGUGGUUCUUAAAAUUGACUUUGAAAAAGCGUAUGAUAAAGUUAAUUGGCAAUUUCUUCAUUAUAUGAUGGAAAAUAAAGGUUUUGGGGAUAUAUGGUGUGAUUGGGUUAUGAGAACUGUCAGAGGUGGUAAAGUUGCCAUCAAAACUAAUGAUGUUGUUGGUCGGUUGGCCCCGGUCUCAAAAAAAGGGUGGGCCAUAUCUCCUCUCAGCUUGGGAUGGCACGGGAAAUUAUGCACAAGUUGCAGUCUGCUCAAGAUAUCAGACCCUUGUCAGUGCUAGAAAAUUGGCCGUUGAAGCAGCUUGAUGGUCAUGUUGUGGCCCUUUCAACCUUGCAACGUUCUAUGGCUCGGAGCCGCUCUAGGAUUACCUGGUUGGCUAAGGGGGAUGCUAACACUGCCUUCUUCCACCUCCACGCUAAAUACCGCAAAGGCAAGAAUUUUAUUGGUAAUCUGUUAUCCGACGAUGGUUUAAUAAAGUCAAGGCAUGAGGACAAGGAGGAAACUAUAAGUGAUUUUUUCCACAAUUCGCUGGGUUGUUCGUCUGAUCGAGCUCAUACUAUUGAUUUGGAUCAUCUCCAAAUUCCUUCUCAUGAUCUCUCUUCGCUGGACAGCCCCUUCACGGAAGAUGAAGUCUGAAAAACAGUCCUUUCUCUACCUUCAAACAAGGCUCCUGGCCCGAAUGGUUUUACUGGGAAAUUUUAUAAGUCGUGCUGGCAUAUUAUUAAAGGAGAUAUUAUGGCAGCUGCUAUGGCUGUUUGGAACAGAAAUCGGGGAAAUCUGGAACUUCUCAAUUCAGCAUACAUCAUUCUUCUACCCAAAAAAAGAUGAUGUAUGUCAUGUCAAAGAUUUUCGGCCUAUAAGCUUGGUCCACUCAUUUGCUAAGCUUAUUACAAAGCUUUUGGCAAAUAGGCUGGCCCAAUCCCUGGAUAAUAUGGGUUCGCAGAAUCAAAGUGCUUUUAUUAAAGGCAGAUCCAUUCUGGAUAAUUUCAUGCUUGUGCAAAAGACAGCGAAGUUAUUUCACCAGAAAAAGUGUGCAAGGAUCCUCCUUAAGUUGGAUAUCACCAAAGCUUUUGACUCUGUCUCGUGGCCCUUCCUCCUGGAGGUCUUAAAGCAUUUGGGUUUCGGGCAAAUUUGGUGCGAUAUUGUUAGCAUUCUUCUUGCUUCUGCCUCUUCCCAAGUAAUGCUUAAUGGUAAACCAUGUAGGAGAAUUAUUCAUAGACGUGGUCUUUGGCAGGGGGACCCUCUCUCCCCAAUGUUGUUCAUACUGGUUAUGGAUGUGCUAGGCUAUUUAAUUAAGGAGGCUGCUAAUGAUGGUUUGAUGGUGCCUCUGAUAGAAAAUUCAGUUCAUAACCGUAUUUCUAUUUAUGCUGAUGAUGUGGUGAUUUUCCUCCACCCGGUGGCUCUUGAUUUAGUAAUCACCAUGGACAUUAUCAGGAUUUUUGGGGAGGCAGCUGGGCUCAAAGUGAAUAUGGCAAAGAGCAGCGUUUUCCCCAUCCACUGUACUGCUGAAAAUCUGGAUACCAUUCAUAAUCUGCUGCCAUGCGUUGUUGCCAACUUCCCCUGCAAAUAUUUGGGGGUGCCUCUAUCCUUAAAGAAGCUCGACAGACAGCACUUACAGCCAUUCAUUGAUAAAAUUGCACAUCGUCUUCCCUGCUGGAAAGCUGAUCUGUUGACUAGAGUUGGAAGACUGAUUAUUGUCCAGAUUGUCCUGUCUUCAAUGAAUAUCUACUUAAUGAUGGCCAUGGACCUUCCUUCUUGGGUUUUCAAAGCAAUUGACAAGAUCAGAAGGAAUUUCCUGUGGAGAGGGAGAAAAGAAGCUUUGGGAGGACACUACUUGGUAGCUUGGAACAAGGUUACUAGGCCUAAAGAAUUUGGAGGAUUGGGUAUCUUAAACCUGCGUUUGAUGAAUUGGGCUCUUAGAUUACGCUGGCUCUGGCUGAAAAAAACUGAUACUGGCAGACCUUGGGCAUCCUUUAAAAUAAAUGUUCAUCCUUCAGUUAAGGCCUUUUUCUCGGCAGCAAUCUCUUCGGUGGUGGGCAACGGUAAAAACACUUUGUUUUGGACAGAUAAUUGGAUCGAUGGCCAAAGUCUAUGUCAGCUGGCCCCUCAUUUGGUCCAGAUGGUCUCUUCUAGGGCUAAAAUGAGGAAUGUCCAUGAUGCCCUCAUUUCAAGGAGCUGGGUCCAUGAUAUUAGAGGAGUUAUCACUGUAAAUGUUUUGUCUGACUUCCUCAGGGUUUGGGACCUCACUACAGACUGGGUCUUAACACCAGAUCAGGAUGAUAAGCAUAGCUGGAGGCUUUCAAGCUCAGGUUUAUAUUCGGCCAAAUCGGCAUAUACCAGUUUCUUUCUUGGAGCAACAACUUUUAAACCUUGGGAAAGGAUUUGGAAAUCAUGGGCUCCUAAUAAAUGCAAGUUCUUCAUGUGGCUCGUGGCCCACGAUCGCUGCUGGACAGCAGAUCGACUAGCAAAAAGAGGACUGCCUCACCCUCAAUUUUGUACACUAUGUGAUCAAGAGGAGGAAACGAUAAACCACUUGCUGGUUUCCUGCGUUUUCUCUCGGGCUGUCUGGUUUCAGAUGAUGAAAUCUGUUGGGUUGCAGCACCUUGCUCCUAACCCUGCGUGAUCCUCCUUUGAAGAUUGGUGGGAAGGGGUUGCUACAUUUUCUGCUGGUCUAGCAAACACAGGGCUGCACAAGGGCUUGAAUUCUUUGAUCAUUAUUGGUGCUUGGGCCAUCUGGAAUCACCGCAAUAGCUGUGUUUUUAAUGGUGUGCAGCCUAGUCAAAGCAUGGUCAUCAAUUGGGUCAAGGAGGAGGCUCAUCUCUGGUAUAGGGCUGGAGCCAGGGAUUUAUCUAACAUCCUUAUGAUCCAGUAAUUUCAGUGGGUAAUCUUUAGUUUGAGUCUCCAUGGUCACGGGUCUAGAUGUCUUUUGUUGUUGUUGAUGUUAAUUUUCUCCUUCUCCCUAAAGCCUAGUGUUUGUGGGUUCGUGUGGAGUUGUACGAGGUUUCCUUGCCUCACCCUUUCUUCUUAAUAUAUUGAUACGCAGCUCUCCUGCGUUUUUGAGAAAAAAAAUGUUGUUGGCCCCUAUUUUUUUACUCAUAAAGGCGUUAGACAGGGUGAUCCUUUCUCGCCCCUUUUGUUCAAUCUUGUUGCAGAUGGCUUGGCUUGUAUUAUUCAGAAAGCUCAAGAAAGAGGUCUGAUCCGUGGUCUAAUUCCCCAUAUUAUUCAAAAUGGUUGUUGUUGUCUUCGAUAUGCUGAUGAUACUAUCUUCUUAAUUCAAGAUUGUUUGGAAGGUGCUAGAAAUCUUAAAUAUAUUCUUUGUCUUUUUGAGCACAUGUCUGGUUUGAAAAUUAAUUUUCACAAAAGUGAAAUUUUCUGCUUAGGGGAUGCUAAUGAGUUUGAAAAUGUGUAUGCUGAUAUUUUUACUUGUCCUGUGGGGCAUCUUCCGAUGAAAUAUCUUGGUGUUCCAAUUGAUAACAAGAAAAUCAGUAAAUCGCUUUGGUGUCCUAUGAUGGAAAAGAUGGAUAAAAGGCUUGCUAGUUGGCAAGGAAGAUUUUUAAGCCUGGGGGGAGAUUGACGUUAUUAAAUAGCUGUCUUUCUAAUGUUCCUCUGUACAUGUUAUCGAUUUAUCCGGCUCGUAAGUCCAUUAUUAGGAAACUGGAUUUGUACAGGAAGAGACUUUUAUGGCAAGGAGGUUCACAAGCAAGAAAAAUUCAUCUGGUUAACUGGAAUUCUGUCUGCACACCUAAAAAUCAAGGUGGCUUAGGGGUUUUGAAUCUGGAGUAUAUGAAUGAUGCCUUGUUGACGAAAUGGCUUUGGAAUAUUGAAAAUUCAAAUGAUUUAUGGCAAAAGAUUAUUACAAAAAAAUAUAUUAAGGGAAAACCUCUUAUCUCAGUUAAGCAAAGACAGAAUGACUCUCAGUUUUGGAAAAAACUUCUAAGUCUCAGAGAAGUUUUCUUUAAAUAUUGUAAAGUUGUUGUUGGUAAUGGUUGUAAAACUAGUUUCUGGAAGAAUACUUGGAUUGGUGAUUGUCCUUUGGCAGUUAAAUUCCCUGUUCUGUUUGACUUGGCUUUUGAUAAGGACAUUUCGGUUAAUAAGGUCUUGACCUCAAAUUUUGAUGUUCUUUCCUUCAGAAGAAGAAUGAUGGGUAAUCUUCAAGUGUUUUAUGGUGAAUUAGUUGAUUUGUGUGCUCAUCAUAAUCUAUCAGGUCAAGAGGACAGAGUGAGUUGGUGUAUUGGUAACAAAGGUUUCACUGUUAAUUCUUUAUAUAAGAAAAAUUCGAUUGAUCAGGUGCCUGUUCCUCACAGGUUCUUGUGGAAAUCUAAGUUACCACAAAAAAUCAAAGUCUUCAUCUGGCUGGUGGUAAGAAAUAAAAUUCUUACAAAAGAUAAUCUGAAAAAAAGAAAUUGGCAUGGUUCUAGUGAAUGCUGUUUUUGUGGGGGUCUUGAAUCGAUUGAACAUUUGUUCUUUAAAUGUUCCAUUGCUAGAUUUGUGUGGAGAGUGAUUCAAAUUGCCUUAAAUCUUGAUUUCAUUCCAAAAAGCAUUGGGGAGUUAUGUGACAGAUGGUUGAACAAAUCUAAAGACAGAAUCUCCAAUUUAAUGAUAUUUGGUUGUGGAGCUGUUUUUAGGCUAUUUGGAGAACCAGAAAUGAUUGGUUUUUUGGUGAUAAAAUUCUCCUUGAUCCUGCUAACAUAAUAUUUCUCUGUUGCUUUUGGUUGGAUUCUUGGGCUAUUCGUCAGAGAGAGAAGGAAAAAAAGAUGGUGGUCCAAGGAAGUCGGCUAAUCAGAAAGAUAGUAAGUGAAGUGAUGUGUCGGUCGUUUGGGUGGUGUCCGAGAGAUCGCCACAUUUCUGGAUGAAGGGUGAUUUUGGCUCAUUUCUGUGGUUGGCUAUCGCUCAAACUCUGGGUUGUCCCUUUGGUGAAAGUGUUUAAACUGGCUUGUUAGCUUCGUAGCUGCGCUUUUAUUUUCAGUCGAUGUAAUAAGCUUUGCUUAAAAACUCUGGUUGCGUCUGGAUAGAUUUUAGUGGUUGCUGGUCCUUUUUUUUUCGAAAACGCAGGAGAGCUGUGUAUCAUUAUAUUAAGAGGAAAAAAGGUGAGGAUAAGAAAACCUCAUACAAGCCAAACUAACCCACACACCCACACACACUCAAGGAUAGCUAGAAGUACAAUGAAAUUAAAUUAUGACCAACUGCCCUCAUGACCAAGAAAGAAGGACGCCGAUUAGUGCGUUGGAGCGGAAAGGAUGCUAUCUAAUCCACUGGCUCCAGCCCUACACCAAUUGUGAGACUGGUCCUUGCUGGUCCUUGCUUGUCUAGUUUGAUAAUGUGAGGGUGCUAGCAUCACUAGGUGCUCUUUUGUCGAUGGGUUGUAGCUCAUCGUUUUGUAUGUAAUGACUCUUAUCCUAUUUCUUAAUGAAAUAGGGGGCUCUCCCCUUCGUAAAAAAAUGGUUUACUAAACGACCACAAGUGGAUCCUAGCAAGCAACCUAAAAAAAUGAUGCUUACAAGGACAGAGAGGAACUGAAGGUCUAAUAUCUAUUGCAUGAGUAUUGAGCACUGAAACAUAAGAUCAUCUGAGCCAAGCUUCAAAACCAGUUUGAAAUGCAGCAAAUGAUGCUGUGGAUGAUUACCUCCGAUGGGUUUAAGAGGGCCUGCGUGUGGAACAUCCACACUUGGCAAGGAAGAACCAGCUGGAGAAUGAUCUGGAGGUGCUGCACCAGAAGCCUGUGGAUAAAAUGGUAUCAGAAAUACUCGAUAUAAAUGAAAAUAUAGAAAGAGUGCUAGGAGAAAAAUGAAACCAUGCAUAUUGGGCUCCCACUCAUAUUACUGUAGUACUUGAUGUUUGGCAAAAAAAAGAAGAAGGAAUUCACUCGAUUACAGACAUUGAGGAAAGGCAACUCGAUGCUUGUACUAUGAAGUUUUGAUAAACAUAUCAAAUAUCUACAAUAUUCUGAUAUACCAGGCUCCGACAGUUCCUAAGAGUAUAUACCAAACAAGCUAAUUCACUUAUCAUAGAAAAAAACAUAUAGGAGACAAAUCAAGGUGAUAUUGAUACUACUCACAUCCUCAAAUAGCGGAUAAUCGCAUAAGAAUCGCUACACACAGAAGUCACAAUUAACCACCUCUCACAAUUAACCACCCACACGUGAAAUGACAGGAAUCAUGAACUUACAACAAAAUAUAGGAUCUCUGCAAUAACCUAAUGCCAUAAACACACGAAGUCUCCGCGAAUUCCACGCAUCCGUAGUCCUAAAAGCACAUGAUCACUAGCGCCGACAUCUCAUUGCUAUGAUGUACUGUGCUGGACUGAUGGCUGUUUCGUGUUCUCUAGAAAUCUUAACUAUGCGGUUGUGGAGCAGCAAGCGCAGCAUCAUGUAUGUCACAGUCUCACGGACUGACCACGUAAGAACGCAAACAAGAUACUAUAAGCCUGACCAUUCGAAAACCAAACAGCAUUGCAGAUGAGUUGCAGCUAAAGGCAAGUGAACAUACCCUCCACAAGGCAACGGCAGCGAGGUCCUUCUCCAGCUUCUGCUUGAGCAUCGCGUUGUACUCCACGGGGUCAACAACCGAGCUCGAGGCAGCCGCCGGCGCCGCGGCCCCCGGUGUCUUGCUCUCCGCAGCCUCAACUCCAGCUCCAACGCUGCCCCUACUGGCGCCGGCUACGGGAACCGGGCUGUCGAGCACGGCCUCCUCCAGGAACUUCUGGAAGUACCAUUCCGACGGGCACCGGUUCAUCAGCCCCGCCGCCUCCCCCGCUGGUGCAGCAACAGCGCCGGCGGCCGCCGAUUGAGGGUGCGGCGGAACCCAGUAGGGGUUGGGGAUCUCCUCCACGGAGAAGACGCGCUCCAUGCCGGAUCGAGACGGAUCGCGACACUGUUGAGGAGAAGUCUCCGGGGGGCUAGGUGUCGGAGAUUUCGAGGAUUUGAUCUGAAAUUUGGGAGAAAUUUCUCUGGCCGCACUUGGUUUGGUGGAAGAGAAGAGAAAAAAUGGAAGGGAAGAGAGGAAGAAGAGAAGAUGAGGUGUGCACGACUGCACGGUGGCUGCAAUAAAUAAUAAUAAAGUCGGCACGGACGGCUUUCACGGCUCUACGCGCACGCCAGUAUUUGCUGAGGAUUAAAUUUAUCUUAAGAAUUAGCCAUGGUUUAUAUAAAUAGUUUUGUAAUUAACUUAUCUUUAAUCCUCUUAAUCGGUAUUUUAAAUCUGAACAAAAUUUUAAUCCAGGACCAAAGAUAAAAAAACAUGGGUUUUGUUUGUCCUUUUAUUUAGAAGACGUGAAUUUUCCCCCUUAUAUACACGCCUCGUUUUCCAUGGUCACGAAAGGUGCCUCUUUAUCUAUACACACAUAUUCGAUGCCACGUUGAGGGUUGAUUCUAGGUAUCACGGACAAAGUAACAUUUUUAUAAUAAAUAUGUUAAGGGAGAUAAAUUUUAGAAGAUUUUUUUAUAAAUUUAAUUAAACUUAAAAAUUUAACUUAUUAUGAGAUACAUAAUUAUUUUAGGACGGAUGAAGUAUACAAUUUUUUUGUUCCCCUAACACUUCCAGGUUCAGGAGACCCUAUUAUCAAGAUCUCUAGGCUCGCCAAUUUCGAUAGACCAUUCUUCUUAACAGAACACCAAGCCCAAAAAAGGCACUACUCAACUCCACCGGUAGGAGAUUUAGAGCAUCUCCAAGAGCUUUCAGAAGUCUCUCCUAAAUCAAGUUUUUUGACAAAAACACAAAAACGUAUCUCCAACAGUUCCCCUAAACGCUCCCAAUUUUUUUUAGCCCUUAAAACUCUGUCAUUUGUAGCUAUAAAUGAGAGGGUUUUUAGGCUCCCCAGAAACAAUAUGUCACUUUAAGGAAUCUGUUAGAGAAAGGAUUAAAAUCUACCCUCACUAAUUUUUUAGAUGCCCCUUAAAACUAAUUUUGAGGAGUCAUUUUCUAGGAAGCUCUUGGAGAUGCUCUAACCCUGUUUGGUUUUUAGUCACCGACUAAACUUUAGUAGUCACUGAAAUAUCCUGUUUGAUUUCAGUAAUUAAAUCUAAGUAAAAUGCAUUAAUUAUUAAGUAUAAUGAUAGUUUUACUCUUAAUCAAUGCACAGGCUCCCGCUAUGAGUCAGUCUUGGUACUUGAGCCAAGGAAGGGUAAGAGAUGAAAAAUUCUACUUUUAGUUACUUUUAGUCAACAUUUCUUGAUUAGAGGACUAAAAUUUAGUCAAUUCUUUUUAGUCUUGCUGCUUGGUUUUUUAAUAACUAAAAGUGACUAAAGUUUAGAUGUUGUUUGGUUUUUAGAGACUAAUUUUAUAGUCUCUCUAUUUUAUUUCAUUUUAGUUACUAAAUUUUUAAAUGGGAACAUUAAAACCCUAUUUUAGUUUUAAGAAUUUAGAUACUAAAAUAAAAUAAAAUGGAGGGACUAAAAAUUAAUCCAUAGAAAUCAAACACUCCAUUAGUCAUUAAACUUUAGUCACUUUAAACUAAACGGGGACUUAGAUGACGCCUUCUCAAGAGACUUUUUAUGGUAUAAUGAUGCUUUAAGAGAGAUCAAGGUUACCCUGUCAUAACUAGCUUCUCUAACUCUCGUUAGAAUUGCAUAGGGAUCAUCUUCGGGUGAGGGCAUAGCCAGCGACAAAAUGCUUGGAAAACGUAAUGAUUUGGAUAAUAUUCAAAGUUAAGACUAAGGAUCCCUAGGACUAUGCUGUGUAUGGGUGUUGAUGGAUCAUAAUCCAAAUGUUUCUUCAUAAUAUGUUUGAACUCAUAAUUAAUUUUAGUUUAAAAUUAAGUAGAAAUAUAGUUUGAUUAUAGUUUUAUCCAAUCUUUAAAUUUUAUAGUGUAAAGUUUAAAUACAAUUAUCAUCCCUACCUUGCUGACUCCAACUAUCAUCAAUGAACGAUGCAUACCGACCCUAAUUCCCUUGCAAAUACAGUUCUGAUUUCCUAACGCGAAGGCCUUUUUAUAGUGCGCGAAACGGAUAUUCUUAUUUGUACUAGGUGAGUGCCCGUGCGUUGCAACGGGAAUAUAUAAUACAACGGUAACUUAUGUAUAAAUAUGUAUUAUGCUGAAAUGUAUGUUAUACUGUUAUAAGAAAAUGUUUUGUACGUUACAUAUAAUACCACGAUAACACAAGAACAUAUAAUACCACGAUAACUUAUGUGCAUUGCAACAGAAACAUAUAAUAUCACGAUAGUUUAUGUAUAAAUGUGUAUUAUAUUAAAAUGUGUGUUAUAUUUAGCAGUCUUAUCCUUCAAGUCCACCUAGAAAAUAUCAUACAUACAGCCAUUUCAAACAUCCAACAAGGGGAGCAGCAGGAGGCUUAACCAUCCCCUUCCUUAAUUCCAUAAGUUGUGGUGAGAAUUCCAAUGCCACACAACCUGUUGUACCGUGGAGAUUCGACCAGAGGAGAAGUUCAGAACAAAAAAUCAGCAUCCAACAUCGUGACCUAACUAAUUGCUAUGCAACUAAUUCAGAGUUUCAGACCAGUUUAGAUAUUCAGCCUGUGUGAUAACUGUUGAAACUUGUCCAAACCUUGAAAUCAACUAUGUCAAAACAAACCAUUUGACACCAGCUUUAUGCUCAAGGUUGGCAUUAAAUGUUUGAGCAGUAUAGCAAGUAGGGGAAGUGUCAUAGUUCUUUUGGGUCAUUCUUAUGUAGAAGAGUUUGCAAGCUGGGUUGCCUUGGACCACGAGAACAGGCAACCGUCAGACCUGUAAGAAAAGCCUUGGAGUCUUGGAGAUCAGAACACCGAACCAACGGCGAGCUGCUUUACAUACGCUUCGAAGCUACUUCAAUUGGUUUUAUCAAGCUCCCCUGAGGAGUCAUGCCCUCCAGAGGAGGCCUUCUUCCUUGCAAAUGAUCUUCUUGAUAUUGUGCCCGCUGUUGAGUCCUUUGCUGGCUCAAGAUUUGCACCCAGCAUAGUUUCUGCUCUGAAGCAAUGGCUGCCUGUGCUCUUGUUGGGUCUUGUAUGCCGGUGGCUAAUUGGAUCACAUAAUGAAAUGGCACCCAACGUAUUCCACUUUGCUGACUCUGUCUUACCACUGUGGGUCACUACCGUGGCAAAGAAUGAGCUUGUUGAUUCCAAAGAGCCUGGCCAGGACGAGCAAAGCAAUCUGACUGCAGAGGGCGAGGACUCACUGUUAUCCAGAAAGCUAGCAGAAAUGAUGGCGAUCCUCUUGAAGAAAGGAAGCCCCAGAAUCCUCGAUUGCGCGAGUGGAGUCCUUCUGUCCACUUUCCAGUUGACGCUGCGAAGAUCAGACUAUGACAUUGUCCUGGGCAUGACUCGUUUCAUUUGUGACAAGUUGCUUGGGAACAACUCCCUAGCAUUGGAAAAGUUGCAGCUUACCCGCGACUUUCUUCAUGAGAAUUUCCUCGAGAUUGAUAGGUAUGUCCGCGAUGAGCUUGUCCAUGAUGACGAUUCGAGGCAGCAACUGGAGAAAGCAAAAGCGUUGAUAAGAUCAGUUCUCACCGAUGUCUGAUUGAUGUACAUACCAGUUGUAAGCAACAAACCGAUAAGAUCAGUUUCCACCGGUGUCUGGAGAAAGCAAAAGCGCUGAUAGUACUACUUAGUUUUUUUAAGAAAAUGAUGUUGCUUAGGUAUAUAUAUCUCUUUAAGCAUGUAUAUUCGUUGAUGUCAUGGUACAGCCCAGGGGCUGAUUAGUAUCACGUUGUGUCAUUGUUCAACAAAGGCACUGCAGUGACCAUGUGUGAUUGGAUAGAAGAUCAUUUCCACUGACAAGUAGAGAUCAGAAAUGAACUGUUUGAAUCAACAAUCAAGCUAGAGUUAUAACUGCUGUUGCAUUCAAAUUUGCAGUCUACUUACAACUGACACAGGUACAAACUAUGUAACAAUCCCACGUUAUUGUAAUCCACCACAUGCCAUUUCAUAAUAGCAAAUGGACGCUAGUGUAUACAAGCCACAAGGUACUAUUUGUAAGGAAAAAAAUAAAAAUAAAUGGACGACUCAAUAUACAGUUUAGUAAUACGGGUAUAUUAAUGUCGCAGUCAAACAAAUCGUUUCUUCACAAAUUGGUGCUCUGCUCCUAUUCUUGUGGAUUAGGUAAGGUUACAGUAGUUAGCAGCUGGUGAAGCUGAUCUAUUGCUCUUAAUCUACAUGAUUAUGGUAUCCGGCCAUCGUCUUCGCGAGGUUCCACAGGAAUCAGUUUGAUGGCAGCAGCAAUGGGCAUCCCGAGGAGGCCAAAGAGAAUGCUGACGAGCCAUUGGAGAUGGGUGAGAGGCAUGGUGUUGGCAAAAUCUCCCAGGAACUGGACCAGGAUGAACUGGAAGAUAAUGGUGCCACCGAGGAUGCACAUGAAAAUGGAGUUCUGUGGCAAACCCUUCAAAACAUUGAUCUCCUCCAUGUCUCUCGAGCUUAUCUCAUUGAAAACCUACAUGGCAUGCAAAGAUUCAGCACCGGAGAGCCAUUUCAGAAAUAAAAAAAACCACACCAUUAUCCUCUCUUUCCAGCUCUAUCUGUUCUGUUUCUUGUCCUGUACUCUAGAAUGCUAAAUCAACGAAUGGCCUCUUCAUUUCUGCGAGUUGUUGGGGAAGAAAAUAUUAAAAAAAACUGUAAGGAAUGAAGUGGAAAACAAUAGAGGUUUUGUUACGAACUUACGAUGACCAAAUAGGAGGGUAGCAUGGUAUUAGAUUCAACAAAUGUGUCAGUUUCAGAUUUCAGAGUUAGCUGUUGCAUAGUCCUUUAGGCAGCUAGUUACUUCAAUAGAGUACGGAUUCAAGCCUAAGGAUGACUAUUUAUUUUACAUAUUGAACUUCAGCAGAACUCUUUCAUCACAGAAGUAUAAUUCAUGUCUUCCAUCUUUAGCAUUCAGCUUUGCAUCAAAGAUUUCAAGUGAAAGUGAACCCAAUGACAUAGUGGAUGCUACUUGUCAGCAAAUAAAACUUAUAAUAGAAAAAGCUCAUUAGACUUACUUUUUCUUGAGAAUUAUACGGUACAGGACACCAGUGCUGAUAAUAUUCAAGUUCUUCAGAAUAUGGUAAGAUGGUGCAUACACAUAUUCAAAGAUAUAAUACUGAUAACCACAGAAGCAGGGAAACAUGCUUAUGUUUUGCUUGUUUUUGUUUUUUUUAAUCAUACAACAGAAUGAGUGGGCAACUGGACAUACCUGCAAUAAGUUCUUGACCAGGUAAAGCAUUGCAGGAAUGGGGUAAACUCUAAAUGUCUAGAAGGUGGAAGAAGACAACAAGCACCUAAUAUGUACUAUCGACAAGCACGGUGAGCGGAAACCUGAGAAGAAGAAACAAGAUGCAGUCAGAAACACAAAAUAAUAUGAUUUGUACCUCAUGCCUAUGUCUAGCUGCUUAUUGUAGCUGUUCUAGUUUCUGUUGGUAAAAAAGGGCCCACUUUAACCAACUAAUUUCGUUUCAACAGCUAUAAAUAUGAAAAGCAUUAUUUACCUGAUAGUAAAUGUUAGUGCCCAUAAUGUAAUAGGAGAAAACUAAAAGCUUUAAUUAUUACAUAAUCCUCAUGGGAACCAGUGAACACAAAAACUUACUAUGUCUGGCUUGAUUAUAUCAUUUCACUCCUUUGUCUUGCUCUUCAUCUCCUUGGAAUUUGAAUCGGCAAGCUGCAGAACCAAAUGGAGUAGUUUAUAUGCAUAUGAUAUAUAGAACAUGUAAUGCACGUCUAUUGUGUACAUCUGUUUGAGCGCAUAACACAAAUAGACUUUUGUUUUCAGUCAAAGCAAUGACGAAUACCGUAGGUACAAAUGGUACCAUUCUUUUUAUAUUUCGAAGAAGAUGAUCAUUUGCAAUAUUUAAGGAAUAGUCAUGCCAUGCCAAACGCUGAAUCUGGAUGCUAAUCCAGCCUAUAUAACAAGAAAUAAAUAAGAAACGGAUGGAUGAAAAGAGAAUCCACAUUACCAAAAGAGAUUGUAAGGCAUCUGCAACAACUUCAGAAUGGCGUGCAGUGCAGUGCAUUCAAUCUCAAAUAAAAGCCCUGCUACAGUGCUAGCAACCUUCUCCCUCCGCUGCUCCGUCAAGGAAGGGGAGGAAGUGAAGCACAGAGAGAGAAAGAAAGGGGAGGGGAAUGGAGGUGGAGGAAGGCGGCCGAGCCGCCUGAGUGCUGCUGAGCUCCCAGUGUCUUUCGGCACCGCUCCUCCUACUGCACCGCUCCUCCUGCUCUGCCAUGCUCUCCGCCGUAUUCCUCACCCAGCCUUGCUCGCAGCUACUACUUUUUCUUGUUGUUGCUGCUUUCAGCACUGGUCUGGCUGGCGACUCUUGGCUGAGAAAGAUAAAAAAAACACUACCAGCCACCCCCAUCUCCCAUUGCUGCACCACCGUUCGCUACGUUGCGGCUGGAUGGACAUGGAUUCCCCCCCCCCCCCCGCCCGCUUCCAGAUCCCACAUGUUGCUUUUAGUGAGCUAGACGCUCUGCUGGAUUCUUGCCACUAUUAGCAAUGCCGUAUUCAUAGCAGUCAAACACAUCCACAUGUUUGCAAUUUCACGUACUGCAGCAAUAGAAAAAACUAAAACAGCUAGCAGUUAAAGCGAACCAAUACAAGAAACUUUAAUAAAAUACAUGUAGAUACAGACCAAGCGAGGUUAUUUGAAACGCUCUUGUGUGUAGCUCCAAUUGAAACAUUAUAAAUAUUUUUUUCUUGUUAUGAUGACUUGCAGGUCAUGUUGCCAUCAUUCACUCACAUUCUCAUGAUCACAUUAAAAAAAGAAUGACAGAAAGGCUAAGAGCAAAUGUCAUAUUUAUCUUCAUUUACAUUCACCAUCAAACAGAAAAUAUACGCUUUAUUUCAACUUGAAUCCCAUAUUCAGUACACAUUCCUAGUUGAAUAAUUUCUUAAGAAGCAGUUUACAAAACAAAAGAAAAAUAAGGUGUGAAUAUGUUUUUUAGUGUGUGAGGGAAGACAUAUCUAUGAUCUUCUUGUGAACUUGAUUAUGUUAGUGUCAUUUGAAACUGUUUUCAGAAACUACUCUACAUAGAACACUUCUUAUCUAGAACAGUUAGACAAUAUAUCAGGCAGAGAAAACAGUUAGACAAUAUAUCAGGCAGAGAAAACAGUUUCUCUUGGACAAAAUGAGCGCAGUUUCUAUAUAUCUACAACACUGCUUGUCUAGAACAAUUAAAUACCAAAAAUACUGAAACCUUAUUGAAACACUAAAAUACUGAAAUUGUACCUGACCAACAGAAAUUCAUAGGAAAAGAACAGUCUCACUACAGAUGUCUGAUAAUCAAGGUUUAGUGAUGCAAAUAGUGUAUACAAGAUUCGGACGUACCUGGCAGUAGUAUGAAGAGAUGCAUUUGUUAUGUAAUGUUUCUUGACAUUUUAUAUGCGUGAAUCUGUGUCGUCCGCCUUCAUCUUGCUCUAGAUCUAGGCGACGCUUGUUGGGCAGCGGCGUGGUGCCAGCCCGCACCACCGUGGAGGUGGGCAGCCAGCUCUGCUCCAUCCAGCAGUGGAGGAUGUCCGAUGUGUGGUGCGACACGUGCAGUGCCCACUGGUCAUCCACCUUCUGCUUAGCGUACACCUCCGCCGCUAGCUCCGACUUAAGUGCAACAAGAAAAAUCAUAGCCAACUGGCAAAAAAAAUGACAACGCUUCUAGAUCAGUUUGCCGUACACUGAAAACAAAUCAUGACAAUAAACGUGUAUGAUAUCGAAUUCAUCGUCACAGGAUCCAGCCAGCAAAAGUUGCAAUGCUACUCAGUAAACAAGGGUUCCGAAUGAAAAAAAAUAGGGGGUGGCAGUCAUACCCAGGAUCUUGCUCCACAAGCUCGCAGAUUUUGAUCUUCUUUUCCCAAUCCAUCUCCUUGAGCUUGCCACUCAUCGUCGCCUUCACCAUUUCUGUUCCAUCUUCUCCCCUAGGCCUUCUCACUGUCGAUCACAUCUAGGCCUGGUAUUCCACAACCACAUGGCGAGGAAAAGGGCAUGAAGAAAUCAAAAUUUAGUAACAUAAGACCAAGUAUUCAAAAUUGAGCUACUAAUUCUGUUGAAAAACAAACGAUAGAUUUACAGAAGGGUGCAACAUGUACCUGUUGUUUCCUACAAAAUAUAUAGAACGUUAAUAGUGGUCAAAAUAUACAUAUCAAAUCUUUGUCUAUAAUUCUAUGCAAGCAUGAUUACUGAAGACCGAUAGUUUCUCUAGGCAUAGUUUUUUUAAUUUGCUUCCGUACCAGUGAUUCACUAAAUAACACAGGAUUAUAGAAGACAACACCAGCUGUGAGUUACAGUAUACGUUUAACAGUUCAUAACCCUUCGCUUUUGUUCUACAAAUUACUACUAAAGCCAUUAUUGUCUUGCAAUUUCAGUCUUUCAGUGUUUUGACAUGAUACAUUGUGCAAGCAAACAGAGACAGACAAAAAUGGAGGCAAACCUGGAGUUUUCUGAGCGCGUUCCAAACAAGCAUUUCCCUAAACACCUAGUGGUCAUCCCUGUAGCGGAUGCAAGAAGAGAGCCUCAGAAGCGCACUGAGAUGGGCCUAGCCGCCUAGGCAAUACACACGGAAGAGGCACACAGCUCGCAGCCCCGCACACCCGAGACUUACUGAGAGAUUCAGAACACUAUCACAUACCUGCGCCGGCGCGCCACCACCGAAGACGAUGAGGAAGACACCACUGUGUGCUUGCGCACCGCUGCACCGUCGGCCGGACGCAUGUCGCUUGGCACCUGCGCACUGAUGCACCACUGGCCGGACGUGGUGGUUUGGGCCUUCAGGGUGGGGUGGGGGAGGCUAUCUCGAUCGGGGGCAUCAGGGGGGGCGAUGGCAGGCGCGUUGGGGCGAGCGGGGCGGGCGCGGGGGAGGGGAACGAGCGGAGAGGGGGCCAGCAUGGGAGCCGAGCACGACAUUGGUUCCAAGCAGCAACGUCGACACGCCAACGCACUGGAUCCCCAUGGUCUUGCCUCAACCCUCUUCCCCUUCCCCUACCGCGAGCUCCGCUUCAUGCCCCUUGAGGUAGGCCUCUGGGCUCCAGGGGAGGAGGCAUCCUUUAGGUGGCAAAGAUGGAGGAUUGCUGCUGCUGUUUUUGUACCCAGAUGGGGCUACACCAGCUGAAGCCAUCUCUGAAGAAAGCCAACGUGCAGCAACUCAGCUUUGCAUUAACUCCCCCGACGUAGCGCCGGCCCUGGCGGGGGUCGAGCAGUGCCCCCGACCAGGGCCCCCAUAUUAACGGGGCCUCAUUUUAGAUACUAAAAACAGUAUAUAUAUACAAAUAUAUAUAUAUAUAUAUCAUAUUUUAUAUAGAUCUAUAUAUUGGCUCUAUAAUUUUUUUUAAAAGUCUAAUCAUAAGUCAAAACACAGCAACAAUGAGUAAAGAGAAUUAAUUGUAGUCCAUUAAUCUUGACUUCAUAUAGUCUCAGGUCCAGCCGUCUAUGCUCUCAGUGUGUAGUGAAACAACGAUGUUUGCCAUUUCAUCUCUAUCUCUCGCACAGUCAUAGACAGACAGACAGUCGUGCCCUAUCCUCUUGGUAGCCAGCGCACGAGCAUCGAGUACUACGGCGCUUUCGUCCUGCUCUACACGGUGAAAACGAAACUAACAUGACCUGAUCGACUAAUCUAACAAUGUUCAUCCAUUUAAUCACUGUUCGAGGUAACCUUCUUUUGAGUUAUCUAGACAUAUAUAUAGGGCAUUUUUCUUCGAGAUGUUAGGCUAUAUUUUAAUUACCUUUUAUUUAAUAUAAAUACCUUUUUCAGAUAUACAUAAAUAUUUAUUGACAAUAUAUACACACUAUAUCUAAGUGUAAUAAUUAUUAUUAUAAAGGGCCUCCGAUAUGAGUCUUGUCCCGGGCCUCUAAAAUAUCAGGACCGGCACUGCCCCGACGGCAGUAGAUCUAUUGAGCUACCUGUAAGUGGAUUAACAAUCAAAUCGAUCAGAGCGAUGAUUCCAGAUAUAGCAAUGGCAGCAUCAUUCACAACAGCGGAGCUUUAAUGACUAACGAGGUGAACUUUGUUAACGAGUACAACCCGUCCCUCGAAUCUAGAUAAAUGUAAGGAACGUGAGCAAGUUCUUCCUAGGAUUGCAAACCCGGCUGAGUCAUGAGCCAGGCAGACAGCCGAGAGAAAGCAGAGCAGAGUCAGUCACCUAAGGAUUCAGAUGCUAUGUUCAUCAGCGAAAUAAAGUCUUGCCAGAACUCAAUGAUAUCAAGGAAUCGUGCUCCUGACUCUUGGAAAGUCAUAGGAAAUAAUCCUAAUCUAGGACCCCCUGUGAAUCUGUUCAGGGGCAUUUCCGAGCCUGUAACGAAGGGGAACAAGCAAAUCCACAAAGAAUUGACGGCUCGGGCACUAACUGAUGGAUUUCGGAUGAAAUCGUAUGCACCAAUAGAGAAGAGGAAGAGAGAAGUCGUGAGAUCCGCAGCAAACGCUACAGCCUCUAGGCUGACGAAAACUUGAACACAAACUCGGAGAAAGAGCGCAUCGUUCUCAGAGCGAAGCCGACCUCGCCAAGAACAGAGAAAACGCUCCAGAAACCAUAACUGGCCCGCGAGAAGAAAAGGCCGCGAACGGUCCGCGGCUCUCACCGGGGAAAAGGCAGAUCCCAGCGAGACGGACGACCAGAGAGCUCCCAGAAUCGGCAGCGGCGCACGCGAACAUGGACCAGGAACGCCCAUUCGCGGUCACAAACUACCAACAGCGAAGAACAGACAGAAAAAACAAACAGCCAAAUCAGGAGCAAGAACAGAUGGAUGCACACAUACCUCUACCCUCCUCCUGCUGCCCCCCUUCCUCCUCCACGAAAGAACUCUCUGUUACCCUUCAAGAUUUGGUUCCCCCUACUCUUCGCCCUCUCCCUCCUCCGAGGAUCCGACUCCAAGGCACAGGGACAACGACCCACGAUGAGCAGGUCGAACUUCUCGCUCAUGGCGCGCACCACGGACGCCGUGCCCUCCGCAUCCUCCACCGUCUUCUCCAUGUACACCACCCCGCUCGUUGUCCCCUCCAGAACUCCUGCAGCAGCUCCUCGUCCCUCGCCGAUCAACCGGUUAGCAGCCUGUGGCACACCAGGAACAUUCAUGGGGUCCAUCAACCGGUCGAUCAAGGGGCAUGGAGGAGGAGAAGGGAGUUUAGGGUUAAAGUUCAUGGGUUGUACCUGAUUGGAGACACGGUCGAGGGUCGCCCGGGCGGCCGCGUCGGGCACCUUGCGCAGGUCACACACCUCCAUCACCCACCGUCGCCGAAUCGCCGAUACACGCCAACACAGCGUGGAUUCAAAUGUGUUGAAGCCUAUGGCGGAUAAGCAAGCGGGCAGGAAGCUCGGCUCCUGUGGGUGGGGAUCGCAGGAGAUGUGAGAGGGACUGGAUGAAGGAACUACCGUGGAGGCGGGGCGACAGAGGGAGGACCGCGGUGAGGGGCCAGUGGGGGUGCGGGAGGCGGCGCAGCAGAGGGAGGGCUGCUCGCGCGGCGCGGAAGGCUGGGGGCGGCGUGGGCGGCGUGGGUGGACUGGGGGCGGCGUGGGUGGACAGGCAUGAACGGACGGUGCAGAUUCACAGAGGCUAACGGACGAUCCAGAUCUCCUGGAGGCAGAACGCAAAAAGGCAGGCUACCCUUAGAGCCUUAAUAAGUAGUAUAGAUUCAUAUUUAAUUGAAAGCAUAGGUUUCGAACGCGCUUCAUUCUAAUGCUAUGUUUGGAUCCUCCUGUUAAUUGUUUGUUAGUGGCUAACAAUUAGCCGGUGUAUGUUUGGAGUCUUAGCUAAUAGACAUCUAAAACACAGUAAAUAUCCUGUUUAGAGAAAGGAAAGAAACGAUCUAUUAGUACAUAUUAGCAAGGUUAAAUAGCUAAUGGGCAAACAAUUUGGCAGCCCUCUCGUUUAGAGUCCAAGGUGCUAAAAUUAGCUGACAAACAAUUUGCUAAAUGGAUUCAAACAGGCUCUAUGAAGUGCAAAAGCUUCAUUCAUUCUUUAAAAUAUACUAUAAAUAUGGUGCUAACUAUUAGAAAUAUACCCUAGAGAUAAUCAUAAAGAUAAGCAUAUUUCUUUGUAUCCAUAAUGUCGGUGUUUUGGACCCGCGAGGACCCUCAACCAACUAGUGAAUUUGUUGCUGCGUGUCCCUGCCCAGAUGGGUUGAUGCAAGAUGGAACACAAGCGGGGGGAAUGAGGCUUAUAUUACCUUGCACCGGGGUGCUCGUAGUAGGGGUUACAAGCGUCGUGAGAGAGAGAGGGAGAGAGAGAGAGUUCGAUCUUGUGGUGAGGUGCCUGAGCUGGCCUCCACCGCGUCUCUCCUACUCUGCCUGCCUCCGCUCGUCCCCUUCUCCCUGCGUGCGUGUGUGUUUUCUACGUCUCUCCGUUCGUCCCCCUCCUCUGUAGGAAGGCCCUGGACGUCCCCUUUUUAUAGAUACAAGGGGAUGGCCCAGCUGUACAAUGGGGUGUAGCUAUGUGCUAACGUGGCUGGCGGAGGAGUGCCUUGAGCCCUGCACGUGUGCUAACGUGACUGUCGGAGAAGUGCCUUGAGCCCUGUAGAAGCAUAGCUGGCGGUGCGGCAUAGAUCCUGCUGACAUUUCCUUGCUUCCGUAGGGGGUUGAGAGCAACCGACGUCAUGGGUGCACGCGGGGAACCAUCAUUACCUGUUACCGGAGUAACCUUAGAUGGGACACCGGUCUUGUUCCUUCAUAGCCUGAGGCAGCUAGCUAGGAGUAGGGUAAUGAUGUAUCCCCUAUAGCGUAGUCGGUCCGAGCCCGAGGUCGGGCGAGGCAGAGAUUUCUCCUGAGGCCGAGGUCGAGGUCGGGCGAGGAUGUGACUCCUCCCGAGGCCGAGGCCUAGGGUCGGGCCAGGCGGAGACCUUCUCCCGAGGCCGAGGCUGAGGCCGAGGCCUGAGGUCGGGCGAGGCGGAGCUCCCUGUUGCGCCCGAGGCUGAACUCGUGGGAGAUUGUGACUGUUUUACCCUGGUGGUUGGCACAGUAGUCGGAACGGGGUGAAUAGCGUUGUUUUCCUGUCAGAACGGUCAGUAAAGGGGCGAAGUGACUGCGGUCACUUCGACCUGGCCGACUGAAGCGCGCGUGUCAGGAUAAGGUGUCAGGCGAUCCCCGCAUUAAAUGCGCAUGCGAUACGGUCGGUUGGUAAGGCGAUUUGGUUGAGGUCGCUGCACGACAAAGUCUGCCCGAGCUGGGCUUCGGGCGAGCCGAGGGUGCGCCCACUGCCUGAGGAGGCCCUCGGGCGAGGCGUGAAUUCAUCCGGGACUACUGUUCCCGCCCGAGGCUGGGCUCGGAUGAGGUCGCGUCCCUCGGUAGACGUGGUCUUGACUUGAACCGCGCUUUAUUAGCCAUGUAUGGUUUGUUCUGAAGAUGUUUUCCAGCCGGAUUAAGGAGCAUUGGGGGUACCCCUAAUUACGGUCCCCGACAGUAGCCCCCGAGCCUCAAAGGGAGUGUAGGUACUCGCUUUGAGGUUCUACCGGAUUUUUUGCAAGGGGACCAGCCCUUCUCGGUCGUAUUUUGUUCCGAUGGGUGCGCGCGAACGCACCCGUCGGGUGUAGCCCUCGAGGCCUCGGAGGAGUGGUUUGACUCCUCUGGGGUCUUAAUUCUUUUCGUGUUGCCUCGGUCAGCCUUGUUGUUCCCUCAUGCGGCCUGGCCGUAGCCCGGGUGCAUGGUCAGGCUCUGAGUUUUUAAGCUGGUUUGUUGAUGUGGUCAACGGUUUGGCCGUAGCCUGGUGCGAGAGCAGCCCCCGAGCCUCUGCAUGGAGCGAGAGGACGAUCAAGGACCAUCUCGACUUUUAUUGUACGGCCCUUCGUCGCCUCUCUGCAAGGAGGAAGGGGGGGAGCGCCAUGUUACCCUCGGAGGGCACCGAACAUGGUGUUUCCAGUGAGUUGCUAGCGGGUGAUCCGAGUGGACGCCCGAGCCCCGUUCGAUAAGGGUCGGCUAGUGGCCCAGAGGCGCGCUCCAAAAGUACGUGCAGGUGAUUUGCUAGACCCGGACCCAUUCGAUAGGGUUCGAGGGCUCGAUGCCUCCUCCGGUGGGAUUCCUGAAAGGGAAUUAGGCUUACACCUAUUUCCUAAAUGAUUUUGGUGGUUGAAUUGUCCAACACAAAUAAUUGGACUAACUAGUUUGCUCUAGUGAAUAAGUUAUACAGGUGCUAAAGGUUCACACUUAGCUAAUAAAAAGACCAAGAAUUGGGUUCAAACAAAGGAGCAAGGGAUAACCGAAGGCAGCCCUGGUCUGGUGCACCGGACUGUCCGGUGCACCACCGGACAGUGUCCGGUGCACCAGGGAACUCCAAGCUGAACUUCGCACCUUCGGGAAUUCUCAGAGCCGGCGCGCUAUAAUUCACCGGACUGUCCGGUGUACACCAGACAGUGUCCGGUGCUCCAAGAGGACGCGGCUCUGAACUCGCCAGCUUCGGGAAUUCGCAUCGCCUGCUCCGCUAUAAUUCACCGGACAUGUCCGGUGUACACCGGACUGUCCGGUGUAACUGCGGGGCAACGACUACUUCAGGCGCCAACGGCUACCUGCAGCGCAUUAAAUGCACGCCAGCGCGCGCAGAAGUCAGGCACGCCCAUGCUGGCGCACCGAACAAUCCACAGUGCAUGUCCGGUGCGCCAUCGGACAUCCAGGCGGGCCCAGCAGUCAGAGCUCCAACGGUCGGAACCCUAACGGUCUGGUGACGUGGCUGUCGCACCGGACAUGUCCGGUGUGCACCGGACUGUCCGGUGCACCAUGCGACAGACAGCCCCACCAAACGGCUAGUUUGGUGGUUGGGGCUAUAAAUACCCCCAACCACCCAACAUUCAAGUCAUCCAAGUUUUCCUACUUCAACCACUUACAAGAGCUCUAGCAUUCAAUUCUAGACACACCCAAGUGAUCAAAUCCUCUCCAAAUUCCACACAACGCUUUAGUGAUUAGUGAGAGAGAUUUGCUUGUGUUCUUUCGAGCUCUUGCGCUUGGAUUGCUUUCUUCUUUCUUUGACUCUUCAUUGCGAUCAAACUCACUUGUAAUUGAGGCAAGAGACACCAAUCUUGUGGUGGUCCUUGUGGGAACUUUGUGUUCCAAGUGAUUGAGAAGAAAAGCUCACUCGGUCCGAGGGAUCGUUUGAGAGAGGGAAAGGGUUGAAAGAGACCCGGUCUUUGUGACCACCUCAACGGGGAGUAGGUUUGCAAGAACCGAACCUCGGUAAAACAAAUCCACGUGUCUCACUCCUUAUUCGCUUGCGAUUUGUUUUGCACCCUCUCUCGCGGACUCGAUUAUAUUUCUAACGCUAACCUGGCUUGUAGUUGUGAUUAUUUUUGAGAAUUUCAGUUUCACCCUAUUCACCCCCCCUCUAGGCGACUUUCAAUUGGUAUCAGAGCCCGGUGCUUCAUUAGAGCCUAACCGCUCGAAGUGAUGUCGGGAGAACUCGCCAAGAGGGAAAUGGAGACCGGCGACAAGCCCGCUACAAGCCACCGGUCAACUUCAUCGGAAGAGUCCCGCAACAAGAGGAAGGAGAAGAAAAACUCCUCCAACAAAGGGAAGGAAAAGAAAUCCUCUUCCCACAAGUCGGAUCGGAGAGACAACAAACACAAGAGGAUGAGGAAAGUGGUCUACUACGAGACCGACUCUUCAUCACCAUCGACCUCCGACUCCGAUGCACCGUCCGUUACUUCUAAGCGCCAAGAGCGCAAGAAGUAUAGUAAGAUUCCUCUACGCUAUCCCCAUGUUUCAAAACGUACUCCUUUGCUCUCCGUUCCAUUAGGCAAACCACCGGUUUUUGACGGUGAAGAUUAUAAUAUGUGGAGUGACAAAAUGAGGCAUCAUCUAACCUCACUCCACACAAGCAUAUGGAAUGUUGUUGAGUUUGGUGUACAGGUACCAUCCGUAGGGGAUGAAGACUACGACUCGGACGAGGCGGCCCAAAUUCACCACUUUAACUCCCAAGCCACUACUAUACUCCUCGCCUCUCUAAGUCGAGAGGAGUAUAAUAAGGUGCAAGGGUUAAAAAGUGCGAAGGAAAUUUGGGACGUACUCAAGAACACGCACGAGGGAGACGAGGUGACAAAGAUCACCAAGAGGGAGAUGAUCGAGGGGGAGCUCGGUCGAUUCAUGCUUCACCAAGGGGAGGAUCCACAAGCUAUGUACAACCGCUUGAAGACCUUGGUGAACCAAGUGCGCAACCUCGGGAGCGAAAAAUGGGAUGACCAUGAGAUGGUCAAGGUUAUUCUUAGAUCCCUCGUAUUUCUUAACCCUACACAAGUUCAAUUAAUUCGAGGUGAUCCUAGAUAUAAACUAAUGUCUCCCGAGGAGGUUAUAGGAAAAUUUGUGAGCUUUGAGCUAAUGAUUAAAGGCUCAAAGAAAAUCAUCGAGCAAGGCACCUCCUCCACACCCGAGGCACAACCUGUCGCAUUCAAGGCAACGGAAGAAAAGAAGGAGGAGGCUACUCCAAGUCGAACACCCAUCGACGCCUCCAAGCUCGACAACGAGGAUAUGGCGCUCAUCAUCAAGAGCUUCCGUCAAAUCCUCAAGCAAAGGAGAGGGAAAGACUACAAGCCCCGCUCCAAGAAUGUGUGCUACAAAUGUGGUAAGCCCGGUCAUUUCAUUGCUAAAUGUCCAUUAUCUAGUGAUAGUGACAAGGGCGACGACAAGAAGGGGAGAAGAAAGGAGAAGAAGAGGUACUACAAGAAGAAGGGCGGCGAUGCCCAUGUUUGUCGGGAGUGGAACUCCGAUGAAAGCUCUAGCGACUCCUCCGACGACAAGGACGCCGCCAACAUCGCCGUCACCAAAGGCCUUCUCUUCCCCAACGUCGGCCACAAGUGCCUCAUGGCAAAGGACGGCAAAAAGAAGAAGGUUAAAUCUAAAUCCUCCACUAGAUAUGAGUCUUCUAGUGAUGAAAAUGCUAGUGAUGAGGAAGAUAACUUACGCACUCUUUUUGCCAACCUCAACAUGCAACAAAAAGAGAAACUUAAUGAAUUGGUUAGUGCUAUUCAUGAGAAGGAUGAUCUCUUGGACACCCAAGAGGACUUCCUUAUUAAAGAAAAUAAGAAGCAUGUUAAGGUCAAAAAUGCUUACGCUCUAGAAGUAGAGAAAUGUGAAAAACUUUCUAGUGAGCUAAGCUCUUGUCAUGAAACUAUUGACAACCUUAGAAAUAAAAAUGCCAAUUUAUUAGCUAAAGUUGAUUCUCAUGUUUGUAAUGUUUCAAUUACCAAUCCUAGAAAUAAUGAUGAUGAUCUACUUGCUAGGAUUGAAGAAUUGAACAUUUCCCUUGCUAGCCUUAAAGUUGAAAAUGAGAAAUUGCUUGCUAAGGCUAAAGAUUUUGAUGUCUGCAAUGUUACUAUUUCUAACCUUAGAAGUGAAAACGAUAUAUUACAUGCUAAGGUUGUAGAAUUAAAAUCUUGCAAACCCUCUACAUCUAUCGUUGAGCAUGUAUCUAUUUGUACUAGAUGUAGAGAUGUUGAUAUUAAUGCUAUUCAUGAUCACAUGUCUUUGAUUAAACAACAAAAUGAUCAUAUAGCAAAAUUAGAUGCUAAAAUUGCCGAGCAUAACUUAGAAAAUGAAAAUUUUAAAUUUGCUCGUAUUAUGCUUUAUAAUGGGAGACACCCUGGCAUCAAGGAUGGCAUUGGCUUCCAAAGGGGAGACAAUGUCAAACUUAAUGCCCCUCCUAAAAGAUUGUCUAAUUUUGUAAAGGGCAAGGCUCCCAUGCCUCAGGAUAACGAGGGUUACAUUUUGUACCCUGCCGGUUAUCCCGAGAGCAAAAUUAGGAGGAUUCACUCUAAGAAGUCUCACUCUGGCCCUGUUGGGGACUUGUUCUCAAAUGCUAUGAGUCAAGAACAAGGCAACAUAGAAAAUGUUAAUCGGUAAAGUCCUUCGUCCUUCGAAGCAUUAUUCCCCUUAGGAUAUAAUGGUUUUCGGACGAAGGUUAUGAAGGGCGUACCUUCAUAAAUACAUUAUACAAUGACGAAGGAUGAAUUGUAAGGAAUAUAAAGGACAACAUAAACAAUUAUAUAUUACUAUUAUGUAUAAACAGAAAUAACGUUGGAUUACAAAUGUACCUUCAACUUGAAGGAGAUGAAAGUACAAGCGUGACGCAAAAGCGAAUGCCAAAUCAGCGUGAACAGUACGGGGGUACUGUUCACCUAUUUAUAGGCACGGGACACAGCCCAUACAAAAUUACAUUCAUACCCUUUACAUUUGAUAAUAAUUCUAUAGUAGUCUAUCGAGGUCUGAAUAGCCUUUUCAUCUCUAAGUCGGUUUCAUUUUCUGCUACCACGCCGAAGCUUUCCUGCUCACAUCUUCGGCGCUGUAUCGACCUUCGUAUUAUUCUGGUCUUCUUCUGUCGCGAUACCGACUUGAGUCCGAAGAUACCUGCUCACACAUUAUACUCCAGAAAUACUGUUAAAUCCUGUUUUUGAGGACCUUCGUAAGCCGAAGGCCCCCAACAAAUAAAGUCUAACCAUCAAGGAAGGAUCAGCCUUGCCUCGGCAAAGCCCUACCCUCCCUCGGGGGCUAGAAGUGGGGAACCCCCUCUGCAUCAAAAUUUUCCUCCGAAAAGUUUUCUACCAAAACGACUUUCGUGCUUUUCGACUCAUAUCGAUAACAGAAUCCUAAAAAGGACGAGAGGAACCUUAAACGGCAAGGCCGACCGAACCGAGGGACUCCUACGCCUCCGGGAUACGGAUACCUCACUCAUCACCUUCCGCGAAAAGUAACUCACGCUCGGAUAAGCGAUUCUGCUACCGAACAAGUCCUAACGCUCGAAAACUUUUCUACCAAAACGAAUUUCGUGCUUUUCGACUAUAUUGAUAACGGAAUCCUCAAAACGACGAGAGAACACGUAAGCAGCAAGGCCGACCGAGCCGAGGGACUCCUACGCCUCCAGGAUACGGAUACCUCACUCAUCACCUUCCAUGAAAAGUAACUCACGCUCGGAUAAGUGAUUCCGCUACCGAACAAGUCCUAACGCACGAAACAAGAGGAAAGAAAACGCAGCUUUAUAAUUCGACAAUUAAAAUGUUUAGGCCCCAACGGUCGCAAAAAACAUACGCAUACUUAAAACAAACUGUUCCUGCAGGCUCAGACAUUGGCAGGGGGAGGAGCAGCACGCUCGGCGUCAUUUCCACCCUCGGCAGAAUCUGGCCCGGCCUCGGACGGCGACACGGGCGGAAGGAUCUCCACCUCAAAGGAGGAAGCCAGCGCCGUGCUUGGGCCCUCGACAGCCGCGUCAAGCCUCUGGACCUCGGCUAAGGCAGCCUCCUCUUCGUCGGGUAAGCAGUACCCCUCGCUGACCCGCUCCAGAUCCACGUCGUAGUGGGAAGCAAGCACGGCGAAGGCCCGCCUAACGUCGUGGUGCAGCGCCCCGCGGAGUCUGCUGCGCACAUGGCCGCCCAAGGCCCACAGAUGACUCUGGGGGGGGAGCUACCCGAGGGGACGCCGUCGAGGCCGAAGGCCUGGCAAAAGGCCGAGAUAGCCUCGGACAUGGCCGCACGGUCGGCCUCCUUCUGCUCAGCCGCCUGGGCAAGCACCUUGCAGCUCUUGACGGACUCGUUAAGAGCCAUCUCGAACCCUGCAGACAGCAGGACAACAUUCUUCAGAUGCAAGGAGAAGAAUGGAGACAUAAACAAAGUCACAGAGCGGGCAAAACAAACCUUUGGCCCGGGCACGCUGCUGUGAGGCCAUGGCUCGGGCAGACCGGGCAGACCCGACGACCACAGCCAGGCCCUCCGCAAGGGUCCCAGCCCGAGCAGUCGCCUCGGGUCUAGAAAGGGGGUUCCCCCCUUCUUGGCGCCCACUCCAGGGUUCCCACCCUACGACACGGGGGCUAGGUCCCACACGUCAUGCGAGCUGACCCGAAACGCGAAGAAGGCAAACCGCCUCACGCGAAGCACGCAACCGCCCCGCAGUUAUAAGCAUUCCCUCAUCCUCACCGAAACCAGCGGUCGAAAGGGCGGACCGCCGCGCAAGAAGCAUGCAACCGCACUACGGUUGUGCACCCUUUUAGCUUCGUCGCAUCCGACGGUCCAGCAUGGGGCCCCGGUCCCACAUGUCAUGUAACCGGUGCUCCGGUUGCUACGUGCAAGGAAACCACACCGCCACUUGCGCCAAUGCCACGUCUUCUCGAAUGCAGAACCAGUGCAGCGAUUCGAGGCAGUCCCGCGCGUGACCCAACAGUGCCAAUUAAGUGAAACGAUCACGGGUCAGUCAGCCGCGGAGAUAGGCACGACGAUCGAUAUGAUCAGAGGCGGGCCGGCAGUAAUUGCAGCAACAGACGUGCGGAAGCAGCGGUCCAAUCACCUACAGGCUCGCAUCCUCUCCCGAAGCGGCAGGGGAGCCCUCUCCCACGGCAUAAAGACGACGCACCCGUGUUCCGUUCCUCGAACGACUCGUGCAUGCGCAACAGACGCCCCGCGAAUCGCCCAUCCCGUCGCAUUAACUUUUUGGUAGGCAAGCGACACCUCCGGCAGGCGAAGCGGGCGCCGUUUCACCUCCGUCAUGAUGACCGCGUCAAAAAAGGUGCGCCACAUUAUUCAAAUUCAUAUCCUUUUUCUUUUCCUCUCUCUCUCUCUCUCUUGCCACAGGGACCGGAAAAGGGGAUAUUUCGAAAAAGGAUCCUUCUAAGCGAAGGAAACAGGCCCCGAGCCCUCCUACUAAUCAGGGGUUCGAAGGUUGCGCCCUUCGGGGUUUGGCAACCGCCCCAGAGCAUUCGGGCUUUGAGCCCUCUACUGAUAAGGGGUUCGAAGGCUGGCCCUCGGAAGUUUUUGAUAGCCACCCCAGAGCACGCAGAGUCAGGGAUGACCCUGGGUACGUCUGUUACAUGGCCGAGGCUCGGGCUACGCUCCCGAGGUUUCCUAGGACAUUUCCGAGACCAACGGGAACAAUUUGUAAUGGAAUUGAAAGUCGCCUAGAGGGGGGUGAAUAGGGCGAAACUGAAAUUCUCAAAAAUAAUCACAACUACAAGCCGGGUUAGCGUUAGAAAUAUAAUCAAGUCCGCGAGAGAGGGUGCAAAACAAAUCGCAAGCGAAUAAGGAGUGAGACACGUGGAUUUGUUUUACCGAGGUUCGGUUCUUGCAAACCUACUCCCCGUUGAUGUGGUCACAAAGACCGGGUCUCUUUCAACCCUUUCCCUCUCUCAAACGGUCCCUCGGACCGAGUGAACUUUUCUUCUCAAUCACUUGGAACACAAAGUUCCCACAAGGACCACCACAAGAUUGGUGUCUCUUGCCUCAAUUACAAGUGAGUUUGAUCGCAAUGAAGAGUCAAAGAAAGAAGAAAGCAAUCCAAGCGCAAGAGCUCGAAAGAACACAAGCAAAUCUCUCUCACUAAUCACUAAAGCGUUGUGUGGAAUUUGGAGAGGAUUUGAUCACUUGGGUGUGUCUAGAAUUGAAUGCUAGAGCUCUUGUAAGUGGUUGAAGUAGGAAAACUUGGAUGACUUAAAUGUGGGGUGGUUGGGGGUAUUUAUAGCCCCAACCACCAAACUAGCCGUUUGGUGGGGCUGUCUGUCGCAUGGUGCACCGGACAGUCCGGUGCACACCGGACAUGUCCGGUGCGACAGCCACGUCACCAGGGCGUUAGGGUUCCGACCGUUGGAGCUCUGACUGCUGGGCCCGCCUGGAUGUCCGGUGGCGCACCGGACAUGCACUGUGGAUUGUCCGGUGCGCCAGCAUGGGCGUGCCUGACUUCUGCGCGCGCUGGCGCGCAUUUAAUGCGCUGCAGGUAGCCGUUGGCGCCUGAAGUAGCCGUUGCCCCGCAGUUACACCGGACAGUCUGGUGUACACCGGACAGUCCGGUGUACACCGGACAUGUCCGGUGAAUUAUAGCGAAGCAGCCGAUGCGAAUUCCCGAAGCUGGCGAGUUCAGAGCCGCGUCCUCUUGGAGCACCGGACACUGUCCGGUGUACACCGGACAGUCCGGUGAAUUAUAGCGCGCCGGCUUUGAGAAUUCCCGAAGGUGCGAAGUUUAGCUUGGAGUUCCCUGGUGCACCGGACACUGUCCGGUGGCACACCGGACAGUCCGGUGCGCCAGACCAGGGCUGCCUUCGGUUAUCCCUUGCUCCUUUGUUUGAACCCAAUUCUUAGUCUUUUUAUUGGCUAAGUGUGAACCUUUAGCACCUGUAUAACUUAUUCACUAGAGCAAACUAGUUAGUCCAAUUAUUUGUGUUGGACAAUUCAACCACCAAAAUCAUUUAGGAAAUAGGUGUAAGCCUAAUUCCCUUUCAAUCUCCCCCUUUUUGGUGAUUGAUGCCAACACAACCCAAAGCAAAUAUAGAAGUGCAUAAUUGAACUAGCUUGCAUAAUGUAAGUGCAAAGGUUGCUUGGAAUUGAGCCAAUAUAAAUACUUAUAAGAUAUGCAUGGAUUGUUUCUUCAUUUUUAACAUUUUGGACCACGUUUGCACCACAUGUUUUGUUUUUGCAAUUUCUUUUGUAAAUCCUUUUCAAAGUUCUUUUACAAAUAGUCAAAGGUAAAUGAAUAAGAUUUAGCGAAACAUUUUCAAGAUUUGAAAUUUUCUCCCCCUGUUUCAAAUGCUUUCCUUUGACUAAACAAAACUCCCCCUAAAUGAAAUUUUCCUCUUAGUGUUCAAGAGGGUUUUAGGAUAUUGAUUUUGAAAAUACUAUUCUUCUCCCUCUUUUGAACACAAUAAGAUACCAAUUUGAAAUUUAUCAAUUGAUAAUCAUACCAAUUGAAAAACUCUUUUAAAAUUAGGUGGUGGUGCGGUCC
This 40202-nucleotide long non-coding RNA is filed under the name Zea mays. Its description in RNAcentral is "long non-coding RNA (ZMAY_LNC000165)". Lineage: Eukaryota; Viridiplantae; Streptophyta; Magnoliopsida; Poales; Poaceae. The record is from RNAcentral.